RNAcentral lists this unclassified non-coding RNA (170 nucleotides) under Ascomycota sp. RNAcentral describes it as "partial internal transcribed spacer 2". RNAcentral also lists the same sequence under 1 other name. Lineage: Eukaryota; Fungi; Ascomycota. The record is from RNAcentral.
CAACCCCUCAAGCACAGCUUGGUCAUGGGCCGUCGCCUCCAGUCUACUGAAGGCGUGCCCCAAAACAGUCGGCAGGACCACGCGGACCGCCGGGCGUAGCAGAUUGUAACGUCCGUGGCGACCGCGCUCCCAGCCGUAAAGCCCUGAGGUCUCACGACUUCUACUCCAAA